AUGGCGAGGGUUCCCUCUGUAGGGGCUCUAUUGCUGUUGAGAGGAUCAAGGCAGCAGUCAGGGCCUGAGGGUUGUCCAGAAGAAAGCACAAAGCAUACCGAGCGCUGGUCUGACAGCACUUAGGAGUGUGACAGAAACCUUCUGUCAUGGGACCAGAGAUUGGAGACCGUGGGAACACAUCCGAACCCACAUCUCCGUGACAAGGUGGUGCUGAUUUCCAGUGGUCCUCCCUGGUGGGGAAAUCACGUAGCUCUGACUCUGGAGCGUGUUGUUGUGUUUCUCUUUCAGUAUGAGCUUGUCUGUGGCCCUAGAGUUCCUCCCUUA
This 324-nucleotide long non-coding RNA is filed under the name Homo sapiens (human). RNAcentral describes it as "non-protein coding lnc-NDUFV1-7:1". The record is from RNAcentral. Lineage: Eukaryota; Metazoa; Chordata; Mammalia; Primates; Hominidae.